Molecule: long non-coding RNA, 1070 nt
Filed under: Setaria viridis
Lineage: Eukaryota; Viridiplantae; Streptophyta; Magnoliopsida; Poales; Poaceae
Description: long non-coding RNA (SVIR_LNC004904)
Source: RNAcentral
GGAUGUUACAAGCAAGGUGGGGGUGUUGUGCGGGUGGAGAGGGGAAGGGAGCGGCGUGGCCGCAGAGGGGUAGGAGCUUGAGCUCCUCGGCUCGGUGCUGUGAGCUGAGGAGGGAGGGGGCUACUCCUAUUUAUAGGCUGGGAGAUCGAGCGUGCGGCGGCCACAUAGCCCGGAUGGGUGACGACGGCCGCUCACUUGGCAACGAAGCAAGGGGAACGGGAUGCACCGGCACCCAGCGAGGAAUAGUGCUCGCAGCGGCAUUAAUGGUGGCUGGGAACAGUGGCGCUGGCGGAUCGGGUGGCCGGGGGAGAGGGGCGGAUGCGUGAGCGAGGGGAACAUUCCAUAGGGGGGCCUACAUCUACAUGAGGGCAUGGAGCGCAGCGGCGCGGUGUGCUGCUGCACGGUGGAGGGCAAGGAGGGGGAAAGCACCGGUAGCCGGCGGUGUCAGGGUGGUAGGCAUCGGGGAGAUAAGGGAGGAGGAGCUUCCUUGGGCGUGAAGGCUUCGAGGGUAGUGGAUCUUGUGGCGUAUGGUGCAGCGAAGGCUUGGCCGAAGCAGCGGCAGCGCACGGUUUUUACCAUGGUAGAGGUAGAAAAAUGGGCACCGGCGCUGGCGAAGGGAGGCGAGGCGGGCUGAGGUGGGCCGCAGGUGGAGUCGGGCUGCUUGUUGGUGGGCUGGAGGAGGGGAGAUGGGCCGAGGAAAGGGGAUAGGUAGGUCGGGCUGAAAGCGUGAGCAGGUCGGAAAGGAGGUUGUGGCCCGUGAGAGAUUUAGAAUGGUUUUCUUUUAUUUAGAAGGGUUUUUAGAGUUCAAAUUUGAAAUAGAAUGGUUUGAAGUGAGGGCUUUAAUUGAACAUAAAUUUUGAUGUUUUCUGGUGGGGUCUGAGAUUGGAAAUUGUUUGGAUAAGGUGAUAAUCUUCUAGAGGUUUGAAUUAAUAUUCAAAUUAGGUUUGAAUAUUAAUUCUUAGAUUUUUAGUUUAGGUAUUAUUUUGGAAGGGUUAUUUCCUAAGAUUUUGGAUAUUUCAAGAGGGUGAUGGUGAAGGGUUUUGAUAUACAUAAGAUCAAAGAUUUGAAUA